GGUGAACGCUGGCGGCGGGCCUAAUACAUGCAAGUCGAGCGGACAGACGAGGAGCUUGCGCCUCUGACGUUGGCGGCGGACGGGUGAGUAACACGUGGAUAACCCACCUAUAAGACUGGGAUAACUUCGGGAAGCCGGAGCUAAUACCGGAUAAUAUAUUGUACCGCAUGGUUCAGUAGUGAAAGACGGUUUUGCUGUCACUUAUAGAUGGAUCCGCGCCGCAUUAGCUAGUUGGUAAGGUAACGGCUUACCAAGGCAACGAUGCGUAGCCGACCCGAGAGGGAUGUUCGCCCACAUGGAACUGAAGCCAGGGCCAGAACCCCAAGGGGAGGAGGAGUAGGGAAUCUUCCGCAAAGGGCGAAAGCCUGACGGCGCAACGACGGGGGAGUGAUGAAGGGCUUCCGAUCGUAAAACUCUGUUAUUAGGGAAGAACAAAUGUGUAAGUAACUAUGCACGUCUUGAAGGUACCUAAUCAGAAAGCCACGGCUAACUACGUG
This 497-nucleotide ribosomal RNA is filed under the name uncultured bacterium. RNAcentral describes it as "partial 16S ribosomal RNA". It matches the Rfam family "Bacterial small subunit ribosomal RNA", at positions 28 to 507 of the family's 1533-position model. The record is from RNAcentral.